Molecule: ribosomal RNA, 178 nt
Filed under: uncultured bacterium
Lineage: Bacteria
Description: partial 16S ribosomal RNA
Rfam family: Bacterial small subunit ribosomal RNA
Source: RNAcentral
GAAGCCGGAAUUGCUAGUAAUGGCAGGUCAGCAUACUGCCGUGAAUACGUUCCCGGGCCUUGUACACACCGCCCGUCACACCAUGAGAGUUGGGAAUACCCGAAGCCUGUGAGCUAACUUUUAGAGGCAGCAGUCGAAGGUAGAAUCAAUGAUUGGGGUGAAGUCGUAACAAGGUACC